AAAUGACUGCUAAUACCGGAUGAUGACGUAGUACCAAGAUUUAUCGCCCAAGGAUGAGCCCGCGUAAGAUUAGCUAGUUGGUGAGGUAAAGGCUCACCAAGGCUACGAUCUUUAGCUGGUCUGAGAGGAUGAUCAGCCACACUGGGACUGAGACACGGCCCAGACUCCUACGGGAGGCAGCAGUAGGGAAUAUUGGACAAUGGGCGAAAGCCUGAUCCAGCAAUGCCGCGUGAGUGAUGAAGGCCUUAGGGUUGUAAAGCUCUUUUACCCGAGAUGAGUAAUGACAGUAUCGGGACGAAUAAGCUCCGGCUAACUCCGUG
RNAcentral lists this ribosomal RNA (320 nucleotides) under uncultured bacterium. RNAcentral describes it as "bacterial SSU rRNA". It matches the Rfam family "Bacterial small subunit ribosomal RNA", at positions 154 to 507 of the family's 1533-position model. The record is from RNAcentral.